RNAcentral lists this ribosomal RNA (115 nucleotides) under uncultured bacterium. RNAcentral's name for it is "partial 16S ribosomal RNA". It matches the Rfam family "Bacterial small subunit ribosomal RNA", at positions 1369 to 1482 of the family's 1533-position model. The record is from RNAcentral.
CGUUCCCGGGCCUUGUACACACCGCCCGUCACACCAUGGGAGUUGGUUUUACCCGAAGCCGGUGCGCUAACCCGCAAGGGAGGUAGCCGACCACGGUAAGGUCAGCGACUGGGUG